This 391-nucleotide unclassified non-coding RNA is filed under the name soil metagenome. RNAcentral's name for it is "partial contains 5.8S ribosomal RNA, internal transcribed spacer 2, and large subunit ribosomal RNA". The stretch from base 1 to 121 matches the Rfam family "5.8S ribosomal RNA", at positions 35 to 154 of the family's 154-position model. The record is from RNAcentral.
GAUGAAGACGCAGCGAAAUGCGAUACUUGGUGUGAAUUGCAGAAUCCCGUGAACCAUCGAGUCUUUGAACGCAAGUUGCGCCCGAAGCCACUAGGCCGAGGGCACGCCUGCCUGGGCGUCACACGUCGUUGCCCCCCACCAUCUACUCCUUCGGGAUUGCGGGGGGCGGAUGAUGGCCUCCCGUGCGCCUAGCCGCGCGGUUGGCAUAAAUACCAAGUCCUCGGCGACGCACGCCACGACAAUCGGUGGUUGCGAAACCUCGGUUGCCCGUCGUGUGCGUUCGUCGCGCAUCGAGGGCUCGAAAAAAUGCUCGGCUCCGGCUCGGCUUUCAACGCGACCCCAGGUCAGGCGGGGUUACCCGCUGAAUUUAAGCAUAUCAAUAAGCGGAGGA